UACGGGGGGUGCGAGCGUUAAUCGGAAUUACUGGGCGUAAAGGGUCUGUAGGUGGUAUGAUAAGUCAGAUGUGAAAGCCCAGGGCUCAACCUUGGAACUGCAUUUGAUACUGUCGAACUAGAGUAUAGUAGAGGAAUGGGGAAUUUCUGGUGUAGCGGUGAAAUGCGUAGAGAUCAGAAGGAACACCGAUGGCGAAGGCAACAUUCUGGACUAAUACUGACACUGAGGGACGAAAGCGUGGGGAUCAAACAGG
RNAcentral lists this ribosomal RNA (253 nucleotides) under uncultured bacterium. Its description in RNAcentral is "partial 16S ribosomal RNA". It matches the Rfam family "Bacterial small subunit ribosomal RNA", at positions 524 to 776 of the family's 1533-position model. The record is from RNAcentral.